This 119-nucleotide ribosomal RNA is filed under the name Salmo salar (Atlantic salmon). Lineage: Eukaryota; Metazoa; Chordata; Actinopteri; Salmoniformes; Salmonidae. The record is from RNAcentral.
GCUCACGGCCAUACCAGCCUGGGUACGCCCGAUCUCGUCUGAUCUCGGAAGCUAAGCAAGGUCGGGCCUGGUUAGUACUUGGAUGGGAGACCACCUGGGAAUACCAAGUGCUGUAAUCA